GAUGGUCCUAAUCGAAGAUGCAGCUGCUUCUACAUAACUGCUCUGGUCAAAAAGGAGUCCAAAGUGACAGUUUUCCUUGAUGAUCACUGUUCUGUUUGCUGUAACUGAUCUACAGCAUUUCAGGAAAAAGACAGUU
Balaenoptera musculus (blue whale) is the source of this 136-nucleotide small nucleolar RNA. The record is from Ensembl. NCBI's taxonomy places the organism in Eukaryota, Metazoa, Chordata, Mammalia, Artiodactyla, Balaenopteridae.